CAGUCGCCACGGUAAUACGGAGGGUGCAAGCGUUAAUCGGAAUUACUGGGCGUAAAGCGCACGCAGGCGGUCUGUCAAGUCGGAUGUGAAAUCCCCGGGCUCAACCUGGGAACUGCAUUCGAAACUGGCAGGCUAGAGUCUUGUAGAGGGGGGUAGAAUUCCAGGUGUAGCGGUGAAAUGCGUAGAGAUCUGGAGGAAUACCGGUGGCGAAGGCGGCCCCCUGGACAAAGACUGACGCUCAGGUGCGAAAGCGUGGGGAGCAAACAGGAUUAGAUACCCGAGUAGUCCCUGUCUCUUAUAC
Molecule: ribosomal RNA, 301 nt
Filed under: uncultured bacterium
Lineage: Bacteria
Description: partial 16S ribosomal RNA
Rfam family: Bacterial small subunit ribosomal RNA
Source: RNAcentral